GACGAACGCUGGCGGCGUGCCUAAUACAUGCAAGUCGAGCGCAGGAAACCGUUCCGAACCCUUCGGGGGGACGACGGUGGAAUGAGCGGCGGACGGGUGAGUAACACGUAAAGAACCUGCCCAUAGGUCUGGGAUAACCACGAGAAAUCGGGGCUAAUACCGGAUGUGUCAUCGGACCGCAUGGUCCGCUGGUGAAAGGCGCUCCGGCGUCGCCCAUGGAUGGCUUUGCGGUGCAUUAGCUAGUUGGUGGGGUAACGGCCCACCAAGGCGACGAUGCAUAGCCGACCUGAGAGGGUGAUCGGCCACACUGGGACUGAGACACGGCCCAGGCUCCUACGGGAGGAAGCAGUAGGGAAUCUUCCACAAUGGACGAAAGUCUGAUGGAGCAACGCCGCGUGAACGAUGAAGGCUUUCGGGUCGUAAAGUUCUGUUGUAAGGGAAGAACAAGUGCCGCAGGCAAUGGCGGCACCUUGACGGUACCUUGCGAGAAAGCCACGGCUAACUACGUGCCAGCCGCCGCGGUAA
RNAcentral lists this ribosomal RNA (525 nucleotides) under uncultured bacterium. RNAcentral's name for it is "partial 16S ribosomal RNA". It matches the Rfam family "Bacterial small subunit ribosomal RNA", at positions 28 to 523 of the family's 1533-position model. The record is from RNAcentral.